GAUCAAUGAUGAAAAUAGCCAAAUCUGAGCAUCAGAAGACUUUGUGGUCUCCCUGAUUCAUGAUCUCUAUAGUUCUGGGA
This is a small nucleolar RNA of Cavia aperea (Brazilian guinea pig), 80 nucleotides long. Lineage: Eukaryota; Metazoa; Chordata; Mammalia; Rodentia; Caviidae. The record is from Ensembl.